AAAAUCAGGGGACUGAAGAGAAGGCUAAUACGCCUUCAUUCAAUAUGGCACAAAGUGUUUUUGUUUUAAUUUCUUUUAAUUCAUGAUAUCAAAACUUCGGAAAUAUCGACAAGCUAUUUUUCGACAUAAAGAAGCCAUACAAACACAAAAGGCUCGAUGUACCUCAACUAAUUGCAAGUUUUCGCCAGGAGAAGUUAAUUGCCGAUAAUUAGCACUCACUGCGUACUAACCAAUCACCCAAAAUGAGCGCUGAAUUGGUACUAAAACCACUGGGUACACAGAAAAAAAAAUAAAACUAUGCAAUGAAAUGUAAUGCGCUUUCUAUCUGAAAAGCGGCUUAUUUUCUUUAAAAUGAGAGUAAAAAUCGUCUCCGUAAAAUGUUUGUAUUUUAUGUAAAAGUAAUUUGAUUCGAGGCUGUGUGUAAAAUUAAAAGCACGCGCUUUUGUCACAGAAGUUCAAGAAAUGUUAAAUCACCUUACGUAAACACGUAGCCGGUGCUGUGACACCGAAUGAUGGAAAGAGAAAACAACAGUACGGAAAACAACGUUAUUUUUUUAUGUGUAGUCGUUACAGCUGAGCCAUCAGACUGCAGGUGGCAACCAGUUGGUCGAGAUAAAGUUUUUUAGCCUCGACUAAGUAUCCGUCGAUUUCUGUUGCUGAUUUGUGCUGCUGUGUAGCUAUUUUUAGAUACUGCUGGAACCUCGGCUGGAACCGAAAAAAGUAAACGGCCAUCUACUGAAUGUUGGUUAAAAAAAACUUUUGCCACCCGAUUGUAGCAAAUGUUUCUAUCACCCAUGGUCCCGGAUCCGGCAAAAAUACGGCGCACUAAUAUAAAGAUGAAGGAAAUUCAUGGCGUAAUGUCCUCAGAAGACUAUGUUACACACCCUUGUCCUGGCCAGAGGCUUUGUUCACGGGCUGACGUACAAAAGUGGCCACCGUGUUUCGGGAGAUGCAGCAGCUUACACCGUCUAAAUGAAGAAAAAAGCUUGAAAUAAAAAGUGAAAGUCAUUCCUUGUGAUUUGUUUAUUUUCAUUUCAAUUGGAAAGAUGAUUGGAGCACGGCCGGGGUAACUGCGGUCCCAUCCUAUAUUUACUUCUUCUUCCCUCUAGCGAGAAUGACGUUGGGGAAACAAGGAACAUAGUCAUUUGAGUCAUUGCGUUGCUUCUUUCAGUAAUCCGGUAUGUUGCAGCUGUUGCUCCUGUUCAAAUCCAUCGUACGGUGCUCGAUUAGACAUUCCUUUGGCAGUGCCGUAGAUGUAUCCAGCAAACGCCAACCACCUCGAUCAAGUGCAUCUGUUACUUUAGAAAAGAGCUUGCGGUGUCCCUCCGUGAAAUUUGUGCCGACUAAUGGCUACCACAGUUGCCGCCAGCUCUUCCGUUUUGGGGUAAUCGAUCGCCGGAAGUACAAAAGUUUGAUGGCCUGAAGUGCGCCCUUCACGAUUUGUAAAACUUGUUUACUUUUAAAAGAGCUGGAUGUCUAGAAAAAUUAAAAACAAAUUUUGUAUUGCUGUUUGCAUUGAAACUUUUCGUUUCGUCGUUGAAGACAAUGACAAUUGUCUCCAGCGACUGCUUCCCCGAUAGACCUUUUAAACAUGUUUCUGAGUGCUCGGCGCGGAAACCCAAAGGUGGUAAUAAAAUUUUGGGAUUUAUGCGCAAUAUCUUAAAUGUUUUGACUUCAUAAAUUUAUGACUGGUGUGUUGUUGGA
Long non-coding RNA from Armigeres subalbatus, 1704 nucleotides. RefSeq lists it as uncharacterized. The record is from RefSeq and is a predicted model, not a curated record. NCBI's taxonomy places the organism in Eukaryota, Metazoa, Arthropoda, Insecta, Diptera, Culicidae. The transcript is spliced from 4 exons.